ACUUGCUCUGUAGUAAAAUAUGUGUUUGUUUUACCACUAUUCAGUUCUAAUGCAUUUCCCAAAGUAAUAGUAUUAUUUAUUGCUCCUUAAGAUGUGUAUCAAGUUAAUAAUGAACAAUUAUCAUUGAAUAGAGGGAAUAAUAUAAUUAGAUAAGAGAGAAGAGAGAAUGAACGAGUUGUUUGGGGGAGUUGGAGGAAACGAGAAAAGGUUGAAGGGAGAAACAUAAUCUUUUAAGGCGAUUAGAUCUGGAAUGAUCUUGAAGGGUAUAAUUGUCAUUUUUUGUGAUAUUUAAUUUUAUUGUACUUGUUCACAAACUUCUCUCCACGUGGAGAAAUGUUAAAUAUAAGUAUCAAAAUAUCUCUCUCUAGAAAUUUUCACUUUUUCUUUAAAUAACCUUUUAGUUUCACCUUCUCCAAAGAUUUCAUCUUCUUGCUUACCAAAGUGUUAUAUCUUGCUUCAUCUAUUCUUCAGGUUCAGUUAAUUUCGGGUGUUUGACACAAAUAAAAAGGCACCAAUCGAGUUCACUCCUCACUCCUCUGUUCUCUUGUACUGGUAACUGGCACCAACCGAGUUCACUCCUCACUCCUCACUCCUCUGUUCUCUCGUACUGGUAACUGAUUUUCAUUAUCAUGGUUUCAAGGGAGGUUUCCUUUUGUUUGUGGCGCAUAGUUUUUUGAAAUUCCUUCCAAGAAGAUGGAAGUUUAUCUACUAUGCCACAAACAAUAAGGCUAUCUCCAAUUUUAACCUCCUCGGACCUAAGCUCUCCAACAAUCAUUAUAAAGUCUUGAGGUAUUUGAGUUCAGAGACAAAGCAUGGAUGCUAUCGAGCAAAAAGGAACAAGGUGGUUGAUAAGAACGAAGAAAUGAAGGCCUGAAGAUCGCCGAGCCCAUUUGGCGAGUCAUCGAUAGGCCUGGAGAUUGCUUAAUGUUCUAGUGUGCUGAGCCCUGAAGGAAAAGAUCAAGUCGGCGGUGAAAAAGAGCAGUCGGCGUAUCGCCGAGAAGUUCUGUGAAGCAGUACCACAUCGCCCAACGACUCAAAAUGCGAAGAUGCUGAAGGCCAAAGCAGAAAGGUGAUGAGCUAGACUAGAAGGCGGAUCGCCGAGUUGACCGGCAAUCCCGACUAACUGCGCCGAGUGAUCCUUUGCAGCACAAAUUUCUGAAUACUAUAAAUAUUUGUUUAAAUUGUUAGCUAGCGAUAUCUAGUAAUUUUAGACUCGAAUUUUCAAAGAUUUUUACUAAGUUUUAGUUCUUAGAUUUUGUGGAGACAUUGUUCAUACACCUUGAAGGUUUUGAGGAUUUUCAACUUCAAGUAAUUGAAAGUGGGUCUCGAAGAAUCUUCAACCUUGA
This is a long non-coding RNA of Solanum tuberosum (potato), 1346 nucleotides long. RefSeq lists it as uncharacterized. The transcript is spliced from 5 exons. NCBI's taxonomy places the organism in Eukaryota, Viridiplantae, Streptophyta, Magnoliopsida, Solanales, Solanaceae. The record is from RefSeq and is a predicted model, not a curated record.